RNAcentral lists this ribosomal RNA (392 nucleotides) under uncultured bacterium. RNAcentral's name for it is "partial 16S ribosomal RNA". It matches the Rfam family "Bacterial small subunit ribosomal RNA", at positions 523 to 918 of the family's 1533-position model. The record is from RNAcentral.
AUACGGAGGAUACGAGCGUUAUCCGGAUUUAUUGGGUUUAAAGGGUGCGCAGGCGGCCAUUUAAGUCAGCGGUUAAAUCGUGGGGCUCAACCCCAUUCUGCCGUUGAUACUGGGUGGCUUGAUUGCGGUCGAGGUUGGCGGAAUUCGUUGUGUAGCGGUGAAAUGCAUAGAUAUGACGAAGAACACCGAUUGCGUAGGCAGCUGACCAGACCGCAAAUGACGCUCAUGCACGAAAGUGCGGGGAUCGAACAGGAUUAGAUACCCUGGUAGUCCGCACAGUAAACGAUGAAUACUUGUUUUCGGCGAUAUAAUGUCGGAGGCAAAGCGAAAGCGAUAAGUAUUCCACCUGGGGAGUACGCCGGCAACGGUGAAACUCAAAUGAAUUGACGGGG